This 1963-nucleotide ribosomal RNA is filed under the name human gut metagenome. Its description in RNAcentral is "bacterial LSU rRNA". It matches the Rfam family "Bacterial large subunit ribosomal RNA", at positions 3 to 1989 of the family's 2925-position model. The record is from RNAcentral.
UCAAGUUAUUAAGGGUGCAGGGCGGAUGCCUUGGCACUAGGAGCCGAUGAAGGACGUGAUAAGCUGCGAUAAGCUUCGGGGAGUUGCACGUAAACUUUGAUCCGAAGAUUUCCGAAUGAGGAAACUCACUUAGAGUAAUGUCUAAGUAUCGUUAAGUGAAUACAUAGCUUAGCGAGGGGAACCCGGGGAACUGAAACAUCUAAGUACCCGGAGGAAGAGAAAGAAAUUCGAUUCCGUAAGUAGCGGCGAGCGAACGCGGAACAGGCCAAACCAAUGAAGUUUACUUCGUUGGGGUUGCGGACAUACAACAUGGAUGCAAUAUCGUAAAUGAAGAGAGUUGGAAAGCUCCGCCAUAGAAGGUAAUAGCCCUGUAGUUGAAACGAGAAAGCUACUAGUAUGAUCCAGAGUACCACGGGACACGUGAAACCCUGUGGGAAGCAGGAGGGACCAUCCUCCAAGCCUAAAUACUACCUAGUGACCGAUAGCGCAUAGUACCGUGAGGGAAAGGUGAAAAGAACCCCGGGAGGGGAGUGAAAUAGAACCUGAAACCCUGCACUUACAAGCUGUGGGAGCACAUUACUUGUGUGACCGCGUACUUUUUGUAGAACGGGCCAACGAGUUACGUUAAGUAGCAAGGUUAAGCACUUAAGGUGUGGAGCCGUAGCGAAAGCGAGUCUUAAAUGGGCGAUUAAGUUACUUGGCGUAGACCCGAAACCGGGCGACCUAUCCAUGAGCAGGUUGAAGCGAAAGUAAAAUUUCGUGGAGGACCGAACCCACGAGCGUUGAAAAGCUCGGGGAUGACUUGUGGAUAGCGGUGAAAUUCCAAUCGAGCCCGGAGAUAGCUGGUUCUCCCCGAAAUAGCUUUAGGGCUAGCCUCAAGCGUAGAGAAACGGAGGUAGAGCACUGAAUGUCCUAGGGGGUAUUGCACUUACCGAAGACUAUCAAACUCCGAAUGCCGUUUUCUUUUACUUGGGAGUCAGACUGUGGGUGAUAAGAUUCAUAGUCAAAAGGGCAACAGCCCAGAUCGUCAGCUAAGGUCCCUAAAUGUACGUUAAGUGGUAAAGGAUGUGGGAUUGCACAGACAACCAGGAUGUUGGCUUAGAAGCAGCCACUCAUUUAAAGAGUGCGUAAUAGCUCACUGGUCGAGUGAUCCUGCGCCGAAAAUUUCCGGGGCUAAAACGUACUACCGAAGCUACGGCAUCAUUUAUGAUGGGUAGGGGAGCUUCGUAUGCAGGCUGAAGCAUGACCGUAAGGACAUGUGGACAGUAUACGAGUGAGAAUGUUGGCAUGAGUAGCGAGACGUGGGUGAGAAUCCCACGGGCCGUAAACCCAAGGUUUCCAGGGGAAGGUUCGUCCGCCCUGGGUUAGUCGGGACCUAAGCCGAGGCCGAAAGGCGUAGGUGAUGGACAACAGGUUGAUAUUCCUGUACCGCCAAUAAGCGUUUGAGAGAUGGAGUGACACAGUAGGAUAAGCUAACCGUACUGUUGGUUAUGUACGGCUAAGCAUUGAGGCAGUCUAAAUAGGCAAAUCCGUUUAGACAAUGCUAGGAUGUGAUGGGGAAGCCCUUCGGGGCGAAGUAGCUGAUUUCACACUGUCAAGAAAAGCUUCUAUCGAGUUUAAAGGCGCCCGUACCGUAAACCGACACAGGUGGGUGAGGAGAGUAUCCUAAGGCCAGCGAGAGAACUAUUGUUAAGGAACUCGGCAAAAUGACCCCGUAACUUAGGGAGAAGGGGUGCCUGUCUAUGACAGGCCGCAGAGAAUAGGCCCAAGCGACUGUUUACCAAAAACACAGGUUUCUGCUAAGUCGCAAGACGAUGUAUAGGAGCUGACGCCUGCCCGGUGCUGGAAGGUUAAGGGGAUCUGUUAGAGCAAUCGAAGCAGUGAACUUAAGCCCCAGUAAACGGCGGCCGUAACUAUAACGGUCCUAAGGUAGCGAAAUUCCUUGUCGGGUAAGUUCCGACCC